AGUGAACGCUGGCGGUAGGCCUAACACAUGCAAGUCGAACGGCAGCACAGUAAGAGCUUGCUCUUACGGGUGGCGAGUGGCGGACGGGUGAGGAAUACAUCGGAAUCUACUUUUUCGUGGGGGAUAACGUAGGGAAACUUACGCUAAUACCGCAUACGACCUACGGGUGAAAGCAGGGGAUCUUCGGACCUUGCGCGAUUGAAUGAGCCGAUGUCGGAUUAGCUAGUUGGCGGGGUAAAGGCCCACCAAGGCGACGAUCCGUAGCUGGUCUGAGAGGAUGGUCAGCCACACUGGAACUGAGACCCGGUCCAGACUCCUACGGGAGGCCGCAGUGGGGAAUAUUGGACAAUGGGCGCCAGCCUGAUCCAGCCAUACCGCGUGUGUGAAGAAGACCUUCGGGUUGUAAAGCCCUUUUGUUGGGAAAGAACAGCAGCAGGUUAAUACCCCGCUGUUCUGACGGUACCCAGAGAAUAAGCACCGGCUAACUUCGUG
RNAcentral lists this ribosomal RNA (492 nucleotides) under uncultured bacterium. Its description in RNAcentral is "partial 16S ribosomal RNA". It matches the Rfam family "Bacterial small subunit ribosomal RNA", at positions 29 to 507 of the family's 1533-position model. The record is from RNAcentral.